AUUGAACGCUGGCGGCAUGCCUUACACAUGCAAGUCGAACGGGUAACGCGGGGCAACCUGGCGACGAGUGGCGAACGGGUGAGUAAUAUAUCGGAACGUGCCCAGUAGUGGGGGAUAGCCCGGCGAAAGCCGGAUUAAUACCGCAUGAGACCUGAGGGUGAAACGGGGGAUCGCAAGACCUCGCGCUAUUGGAGCGGCCGAUAUCAGAUUAGGUAGUUGGUGGGGUAAAGGCCUACCAAGCCGACGAUCUGUAGCUGGUCUGAGAGGACGACCAGCCACACUGGGACUGAGACACGGCCCAGACUCCUACGGGAGGCAGCAGUGGGGAAUAUUGGACAAUGGGCGCAAGCCUGAUCCAGCAAUGCCGCGUGUGUGAAGAAGGCCUGCGGGUUGUAAAGCACUUUCAGUGGGGAAGAACAGGUUCGGGUCAAUACCCCGGAGCCCUGACGUUACCCACAGAAGAAGCACCGGCUAACUCCGUG
This 482-nucleotide ribosomal RNA is filed under the name uncultured bacterium. Its description in RNAcentral is "bacterial SSU rRNA". It matches the Rfam family "Bacterial small subunit ribosomal RNA", at positions 29 to 507 of the family's 1533-position model. The record is from RNAcentral.